CCUCUGGCCUCAACCUCCUCAGUUGCUAGGAUUACAGGCCUGCACCACCAUGCCUGGUUCAACUUACAACUUCUUUUGACUUUGCAAUGGUGUAAAAGUGAUAUGAAUUCAACAUAAACUGUACUUAAACUUUUGCUCUUUUCCCAGGCUGGUGACACAUGGAAUGAUCCUCUCUUGAGAUGCUGGACAGCAGCCAACCAGGGGUUGCUUGCAGUCAACCCUUCAAUCAUGACAGUAAUCUGAAGUGUGCAGUGCAGCUAAACCAGCUUGUUCAGGGAGAAUUUUCCUAAGAGAAGCCAAGGGCGCCAGAGGAAGCAAAGAGGAACUCAAACUAAGGAAGUGGUGCAUCGCCUGGGAAAGCGGAAGAAAAUGCUUGCACCAGAACAUUCCUACCAUCUGAGAGCUGAGGAAAGACCCACCUGGGAUUGUGACCCACAGAUUCAUCCCACCCCCCAGCUUGGGAACCAUGGUUCUCUUCUGUCAUUGCCAACCAUCACUCAGUUCUACAAACUCACCUCCAUCUUAAGUUGUUUUGCCACUCCAACUUAACUUUACCUGAAUUGUUUACUUUAAUAAUUCACUCAGUACUACCCUGAGUAAGGUGAUGACAACACAGAGGGGAAUAAAGGCUUGUUCCUGCAAGGCA
Molecule: long non-coding RNA, 646 nt
Organism: Ictidomys tridecemlineatus (thirteen-lined ground squirrel)
Lineage: Eukaryota; Metazoa; Chordata; Mammalia; Rodentia; Sciuridae
Source: RefSeq, a predicted model, not a curated record